RNAcentral lists this long non-coding RNA (3695 nucleotides) under Ovis aries (sheep). RNAcentral describes it as "lncRNA (ENSOARG00000025844.1)". Lineage: Eukaryota; Metazoa; Chordata; Mammalia; Artiodactyla; Bovidae. The record is from RNAcentral.
AUGGGGCUUCCCAGGUGGCACGAUAGUAAAGAAAUCACCUGCCCAUGCAGGAGACCCAGGUUCAAUCUCCUGGAGGAGGAAAUGGCAACCCACGCUAGCGUUCUUGCCUGGAAAAUUCCUUGGACAGAGGAGCCCGUAGACUACAGUCCAUGGGGUCGCAAAGAGUCGGACACAACUGAGCACUCACACACCUCCCACUGUCCCUUGUUAGCAUCAGCAUCAACUGAGACAACUGACUGCCUUUAUGCAGCUGUGAUUCUAAGGCUUGAAGACCAUUUUCCUACUUGGGACAGUCUUGUGGGAGAUGUGCAAAAAGGUAGAUUCACUUUCUGGAUUAUUUAUAAUUCCAGAGUGCAGCUCGUUCAUAAUAUAACAAUCUCUAAAUCUAUGUGCUUUUUGCUUAUAGCAAGGUGGCUGGGCUUCACUCCCUGGGCAUCUCCUGGACCCAAACAAAGGGACCAUGCUUGGUCGUCUCCUCCAGGUCCAUGGUUCCCCAUGUACCUUUCGUCUAUUGGACCCUCAUACCUACUCUCCCCUUGUGGAGAGCAGAAUUUAGGGUCACAAGAUCUGUAACCUUCACGCCUUCCAGUGCCCACGCCUUCAGUCUGUUUCGUCGGUGCUCAUGUGACCCCAGGUGGCUUCGGUGACCGCGGUGAGUUCAAGGCCUUGGUGGUGCACAUCCAGGGGAGAAGCCUGUGGUUUCUGUCUCUCCCAUCUCAUCCUGACAUGCUCCUCCACCCUGGCUGCUUGCGUGGGGUCUGCCUCUGACCUGAGGGCACCAUGAAGUCUUUACAUGAUUUGCCAUCCUUCAGUUUAUUUGUCUGAAUGUGUAGCAGGCUCUCAUUGUUUCUUCCUAAACACUUUCCUUCUCUGAGACAAACCCCCUUGUCUGUAGACUGGCCUCCUGGUCUCCUGUCUGCCACCAACAUCAGAACACACUGGGCAGCCCUGCUGGUGGUUGAAACAUUCCAAUACUGGCUUCAAGUAUGUAUGUGUCAACCCCAAUCUCCCAGUUUAUCCCACCCCCGUUUGGCCCUUGUUUCCUUUGUAUCCAUAUAUCUAUUCUCUACUUAUGUGUCUCUAAUUCUGCUUUGUAAAAUAAGAUUGUCUAUACCACAUUUCAGUUUUUUAUAAGCCACCCAGUUGGUGUACUUUGUUAUGGCAGCUCUAGGAAACGGUUACACUGACUUCAUGGGCUGGAGCCUUGGCUGAACCUAAGCUGCUGAGAGUGAGCUGGCUGCUCGAGAGUGGUCUCCUGGCUGGCUGACCUGCUGCCAUGCCCAUGGGUCAGUGUCCUGCCAGCUCGUCACUCUACCACCCUCCCAUUCUCAAAGUGACGUGUUAGUCGUUGAGUCAUGUUCAACUCUUUGUGACCCCAUGGACUGUAGCCUGCCAGGCUCCUCUGUCCAUGGGAUUCUCCAGGCAAGAAUACUGAAAUGGAUUGUUACUCCCUUCUCAAGGGGAUCUUCCCAUCUAGGGAUCGAACCCAGGUCUCCCGCAUUGCAGCCACCCAGGGAGCCCCAGUAUUCUUUCCUGGGAAUUUCCAUGGACAGAGGAGUCUGGUGGACUACAAUCUAUGGAGUCACAAAGAGUUGGACACAACUGAGCAACUAAUACUCUCACUUUCCUGGUCCCCUUCUUAAAGCUCACUUCUAAAGAGAGCACUCUGCCUGCACACAAUCUUUCUAGCCAUGCAUUUCAGUAGCUCCCUAUUGCCUAUCAAUUCAUUGCAUCAAAUUAAAAAACCUAAGUUUUUUUUUUAUUCUCCUUUGUUCCAAAAGAUAUUUAGGAUAGUAUCUUAUUUACUUUUUUGAGAUUCUUAGUGAUCUCACUGCAAAACUAGACCUUCAAAACAGUCUCAGAAUCCAGAUCGAAUUAUUAGCUUAAUUUGUUCAGAUCAUCCGUUCACUUGCUGACAUUGUCUCCAGGGGCAUCUACUCUGUGCCUGGCACAACAGUGCAUCAGUAGCCAAGGCCUCGCUCUCAGGAGCGUGAGCGCAGCUGGGGCUCCAACCCAUGGAGUCAGUGCAUCCUUUUCCUGGAGCAGCCAUGCUGCUGCUGCUGCUGCUGCUAAGUCGCUUCAGUCGUGCCCAACUCUGUGACCCCAUAGAUGGCAGCCCACCAGGCUCCACCGUCCCUGGGAUUCUCCAGGCAGGAACGCUGGAGUGGGUUGCCAUUUCCUUCUCCAGCAGCCAUAACAAAGUACAAAAACUUGGUAGCUUAUAAAAACAGAAAUAUAUUGAUUCUUCCUCACAGAGCUGGAGGCUGGGAGUCUGAAAUCAAGGUGUAAGCAGGCAGGGCUAUACCCCCCCCAAAGGUCCCAGGGAAGACUCCUUCCCUGCUUCUUGCAGUUUCUGGGGACCCUCAGUGUUCCCUGGUCUGCGACAACGCAUUCCCAAUUUCUGCCUUCAUCUUCGCACGGCAGUCUUCUCCCUAUAUGUCCAGAUCUGCUGCUCUUUAUAAGGACACCAGCCCUUAGGGCCCAUUCGAAUCUAGCAUGUCUUCUUAAUGGCAUCUUAGCAAAGUCCCUCUUUCCCAAUAAGGUCACAUUCUCAUGUGCCAGGUGUUCAAGCUUAACAUCUCUUUUAUGGGGACACAAUCCACAACAAAGCAGCAAGGACAACAAAUGAGAACAAAAUUUUAAUGAAAAAUAACUUUUUAAAAAACUCCAAAUUUGCUUAAAAUUCACAAUUUUAUAGUAGACACCAGUAUGGACAGUUCUUGAGAGCUUGGCCCACUGAAUCAUAGUGUCUGAGUUUAAAUCCUAAAAAGAUAAACUUCUCCCCUUUUUCAGAAAUAGGUUAAUAGUAGUGAGAUGGUUGGACGGCAUCACAGACUCAAUGGACAUGAACUUGAGAGAACUCCAGGAGAUAGUGAGAGACAGGGAGGCCUGAGGUGCUGCAGUCCAUGGGAUCGCAAAGAGUUGGACAUGACUUAGUGACUGAAUAACAACAAAAUAGUAAUGCCUAUGUUACUGAACUGUUGGGAGGUGGUGAGCAUGUCAACUUAACACGAUAAACAUGGCAUGAUAAACAUGUCAAUUACCACGUAUAACACCUGACCUAAUAGUAGUAUUUAACCACUUCUUCUGAUUUACUCCUUUUUAAUUUAUCAUUUAGAAUUUUAAUUUUUCAAAACGCUAGAAUAUCUUAAAGGAAUUGCUAUUGCACUUUAAAUCAAGCAUUAUUUGCCCUUGUGCAAUCCUUAGCUGUUGUUUUGUAAAUGGGCUACUCUAUGCUCACACAGUUCACCUUCUAUUAAGUAACAGGGAUUAUAAAUAUCAAGUUAUUCAGACACUGUAUUCCAUUGCAGUGAAUAUUCUGCUCACAUGGCCUACUCGCUAUGGGAAGGUAAAUCAGAUUAUAAACUUGAGCCAUUGUGCCAUCGUAUAACCACUGCAGUGAACUGGAAGACAGUGCCUACUUGAUUUUAUUUAAACUGAAAUUUCCCAUAAUGACAGCAGCAUGGGACAACAUAACAACCCAUCAGCCAAGUUCAAGAGCUGUUUACACAGUACAUAGGUAAAAUGGGUUUUGCUACUAUGAAUUUUACCUGUAGUGACUUUUCGUUAAUAUGAGCCGAGGUAAAUUGACUAUAGACUAUCAGUCUCUGGAAGGUAGAAGCCUCACUGAUUGAAUAUUAUAGUAAGAGCAAAUUGGCCACAUUUCCCCACUAUUCUUGAAAGGAAUGGACUUG